GGGUGAGUAACACUUAGGAAUCUGCCCAGUAGUGGGGGACAACCAGGAGAAAUCCUGGCUAAUACCGCAUACGCACUACGGUGGAAAGUGGGGGACCUUCGGGCCUCACGCUAUUGGAUGAGCCUAAGUCGGAUUAGUUUGUUGGUGAGGUAAUGGCUCACCAAGGCGACGAUCCGUAGCUGGUCUGAGAGGACGAUCAGCCACACUGGGACUGAGACACGGCCCAGACUCCUACGGGAGGCAGCAGUGGGGAAUAUUGGACAAUGGGCGCAAGCCUGAUCCAGCAAUGCCGCGUGUGUGAAGAAGGCCUGCGGGUUGUAAAGCACUUUCAGUAGAGAAGAAAAGCCUAGGGUUAAUACCCCUGAGUCUUGACGUAACCUACAGAAGAAGCACCGGCUAACUCCGUGCCAGCAGCCGCGGUAAUACGGAGGGUGCGAGCGUUAAUCGGAAUUACUGGGCGUAAAGCGCGCGUAGGCGGCUUUGCAAGUCGGAUGUGAAAUCCCCGGGCUUAACCUGGGAACUGCAUUCGAUACUGCUUAGCUAGAGUAUGGUAGAGGGAA
Molecule: ribosomal RNA, 560 nt
Filed under: uncultured bacterium
Lineage: Bacteria
Description: bacterial SSU rRNA
Rfam family: Bacterial small subunit ribosomal RNA
Source: RNAcentral